Mustela lutreola (European mink) is the source of this 1672-nucleotide long non-coding RNA. RefSeq lists it as uncharacterized. The transcript has 2 exons. The record is from RefSeq and is a predicted model, not a curated record. Lineage: Eukaryota; Metazoa; Chordata; Mammalia; Carnivora; Mustelidae.
CUCCCCCGGGAUCAUUUCUAUGGUUUGCUACUAGGGAAGUUUUUGUGAAUUUGCAAAGCACCAGAAAUAGAGAACUGCUGUUCAAUAGGAAUAAAAUUAUGGUUAUAUAAGAGGGACUCUUGCCACAUUACAAUAAAUAAACUUAAAGAUUUUUAAAUAGUAUAAAAUAAAAUGUAGAAAAUAGGCCAAAAUACUAAUUGUGAAUGUCUCCAGAUAGUAGAACUAGGAUUACUUUUUUCUUCUUCCUAUUUAUAUGUGUUUUUUGGAUUUUAUUAAAUACAUAUUGCUUUCUUAGUUAAAAAAAAAAAAUUUAAGGUACAUAAACCCAUUCAUUUCUUUUAUCACCAAUUUCAGACUAAGGAAAUUUUAUCCAGUCUAUGUGUCUAAGAGAGAAGUAGUCAUUCUGAGCAACUGUUUCUUAAAAUAUGACCCUCAGCCACCAGCUUUUAGUUCAUGGAUAGAUCGGUAUUCUCUUCGAUCCUAGCCUGAAAAGCAGAGAACCUGCGUAUGGAGAGUCCUAGAGCCCUGUUAAAUAGAAUCACAGGACAUCUCUCUGGAGGAGAUGGCUCUGCAUCACCAGCACUCUCCUCCCCAAUUUGUUGACUGCUUUGCAUUUGUAGACGCCGGUGCAGAGACUGGGGAUCAAGACCUCACAGGUUCAGGAGGCUCAUGAGGCUGGAGAAGGCUCUGGUUUAACCACUGAGAAGAGAAGCAUAAAAAGAAGUCCUCAUUUCCUAAAAGUUCAGGCAUGACCAUACAGGUUUAAUUAGGAACAGCCAGCUGUUUACAGCAAAUUAUAAACUGUGUAAAGCAGACCUCAGUGGACACGCCCAAGGAUGUUCCAUGAACCCUUCCUUCCCCAAGUCCGGAUUCAGCAGAUCUGGCUUGGCGAGGUAGGGUGCUGCAAUGCCAGUCAGAGGAGUAGCCCAGAAGUCCUCUUCCAGAACUUUCUAUGACCAAAGGAGAUGGCCAAAUCGCUUAUGGAAAACGUCUUUUUCUUUCCUUUUGUCUUUAAAACUUGAAGUCAAUCCACUGUUCUCUUGACUGCCUCUGCACCCACCCGGUAGACAGACACUUCAGAACAGGCUAAACAAUACGAUGCGGUGGGAAGAACAUCAACUUUGGAGUAAAAAUUCUGGCUGAACUUCCUAAUUUUUGACCUUGUGUGGACUUUGUCAACCUCUCUAAAUCCCAAUCUCUUCAUCUAUAAAAUGGGGAUAAAUAAAUAAAUAAAAUCUAGUGAGACAAAUGUGAAAGUUAAAUGAGAAUAUAUGGGAAACAGUUGGCAUAGAGUCGAUGCUCAAUUAAUUCUCGUUACCUUUCCUUUUCCUUCUAGAAAGUGAUUGGUCCAUCAGUGUUUAUGUUGAGGGGGAAAGAAAACAAACUAUAAAACUCCUAAUGAGCCUUACUUCAAGUACAGCCCAGUGCCAUUCAGUAAUUAGUAUGGCCUCCUGAACCUACCGUCACCGAAAAGUCGCAAGUAUGGAAGGAGACUCUGUAGGGGUCUCCGUGGCGAUGACCACAGCAGAACAGAAUUGUCCUCACUAUUGGCCUUCUGUCUUGGACCGCAGGCACACCCUGGAUGCCUUGCACCCAUUCUGCAAAUGCAAGGAGCCUCUGUCAUUCAAAGCGCUUCAUCAGAAAUAAAAGAUAAGACCUUUGUCCACGGGUU